ACAGAGUCCAAGGUUCUCUUAGGAUGCAUGACAUGGGGACCUAUUGUAGACUAGGGGAAGGGGUGAAUAUUGUGACAAUGUGUUUCAGUCUGAAGUUUGAGCAGAGCCUGGGUAAGAGGGUAGGAGUGGUGAAUGGGAGAAGAACAUUCUAGAUGGAAGGAACUGUGAGUGGCCAGGCCCUGAGGAUGGAAGGCCAUUGGCAAGUUCCCAGAGGCCCAAAUGCCUGGGGAGUGGUGAGCAGAAAGGAAGGUGGCAGAGACAAAGCUGGAACAGCAGAUGGGCAGACCUUCGUUACCCUCAUGCCCGGCUCACCUCACUAUGGCUGUCUGGAACACACGCCCCUGUAAACUGUCAAUGAGAACCCCCUGGCCUUGUCAUCUUUGAGUUGGGGCAGAUAUUUGAACCAAAAGCUCCAGUGGAGGCUCCCGCUGACAACCAGCAUCAACCACAGACACAUGUGUGAAUGGACCACCAUAUGACUCCAGUCCCCAUCUGGUCAGAGAUUUCAACACUUCAAAAGAUGAUACAGCAUACCUUUUGCAAACCGGAGGAUGAUAAGGUUUCAUGUAGGCAAUGGAGCCAGUGAUUACUUCUGAACCCCAGCAUGUACUUACUGGAAUCUGAGCUCACGAGUCUCUGAAUCCAUGACUAAUGCAAGUCAGAACCAAGUUUAUUGAUGACGGCCCUUUUCCUCCUUAGGGAUCAAAGUUUUCCAAUGUAUAUACUGAUUACGGCUCUCAAAUUAGCUCUAAGCCUAUUUGCAUGUAAUGCAAGAAUCGUUACCUAUGCAGAUAAUCCCCCUUGUACUACAGUUUAGCAGAGUUUCAGCACAAAAAUAUGAUGAAGCUAAAAUUAUCAAACACCAUGAUGGAUGUUUAGAAACCUUCUGAGAGAAAAAGUUAAGAACGUUGCACAUUUCUUUUGUAUUGAUAUUAUAUGAUGA
Neofelis nebulosa (Clouded leopard) is the source of this 943-nucleotide long non-coding RNA. RefSeq lists it as uncharacterized. The record is from RefSeq and is a predicted model, not a curated record. NCBI's taxonomy places the organism in Eukaryota, Metazoa, Chordata, Mammalia, Carnivora, Felidae. The transcript has 6 exons.